UUCUGUACACCAAAGAUUUUAAGUCUAGCUUUCUAUAAAGACUGAAAGCCAUUAUCAGAAGGUGCCAUGAAGACCCUUUGCAGCUUCCUUCUUUUCAGUGUCUUAAUUCUUUGGGUGGUGUUGCCAUCUGCAAGUUUGGAAAGGACACCAGUGAGACCUGGACGCUGCCCUCCUUUUCCCAAAAUAGGGUGUGUUGAACCUGAGAAAGAUAGAUGCCAAGUGGAUGCACACUGCCCAUGGCCAAAGAAAUGCUGUUACCAACCCUGUCAUCUUCAUUGUGUGCAUCCUAUAAAAAGGAUAGAUUAAUACCUUGAUGUGAACCUAUGGAGAUAAUGCCUUUCAAAACACCUCGUUGCUUCUCUCUACUGGCAUAACAAAGAUUCACACAUGAUUCUAAAUAUACUAUGCUUAUGCAACAGGA
Molecule: non-coding RNA, 421 nt
Organism: Anolis sagrei ordinatus
Lineage: Eukaryota; Metazoa; Chordata; Lepidosauria; Squamata; Anolidae
Source: RefSeq, a predicted model, not a curated record